CUAGAACCCGAGACGUGGUGUUUUUUAAUUGCUUCACCAUUUUCUCUUUCAAAAUUUGGUAUUAAUUUGUACCAAAUUCCACAACUCAGUCUUCUACUAAAAAAGAAUUCAAAAUCGUGCCCCAUAGAAGUUUUCAAAAUUAUCCCUAAUUUCUUCAACUCCCACAUCGCUUGAAAUCAGAAUUCGGCCUCAAAUUUGUUUCUAUAUAUACCUCUACUGUUAUCAUCGAAAAGGAGGAGGGAAUAUUGAGCUGAGAGACAAAUAUACUAAAUAACUCCAAAGGUAAAAAUCUAAUUUCAUUUUGAUGGUGGCAAAAAUUUUCUAACGAAGCUCACAAGUCUGAUUCGCUGCUCCGAAAUAGAUAAGUAAUCUAAAAGGCGGGAAGUCAAGUUGGAUUAGUAUCGGAUUUGGACGACCAGGUAUAUAAGGCUACUCUAUGUCGUAUUCCUUGGCAUGAAAUCCGGUACUUUUAGUACAACAUAAGUUUCUAUAGAUUUCCCAUAGUAAAUAGUACCUAAUAGCAGCACAUGAUCUCCUAUCUAGCUAACGACUUUAUUCCCGCUCCUUAGUGUGUUAAAAUACCUCACCACAUGCUUAUUAUUGAGUUUACAUUUUUACAUUCACUAGCAAGUCUCAAGAGUUCUCAUUUAAGUCAAAUAAGACUCGUAUUUUAUUUUUAGCUCCUAAACAUCUCAUUCGUAUACAAUU
This is a long non-coding RNA of Capsicum annuum, 708 nucleotides long. RefSeq lists it as uncharacterized. The record is from RefSeq and is a predicted model, not a curated record. The transcript is spliced from 3 exons. Lineage: Eukaryota; Viridiplantae; Streptophyta; Magnoliopsida; Solanales; Solanaceae.